AUGAACGCUGGCGGCAGGCCUAACACAUGCAAGUCGAACGGAGUUAUAUUGUAGCUUGCUAUGGUAUAACUUAGUGGCAGACGGGUGAGUAAUGUAUAGGAAUCUACCUAGUAGUACGGAAUAAUUGUUGGAAACGGCAACUAAUACCGUAUACGCCCUACGGGGGAAAAAUUUAUUGCUAUUAGAUGAGCCUAUAUUAGAUUAGCUAGUUGGUGGAGUAAUAGCCUACCAAGGCAAUGAUCUAUAGCUGAUCUGAGAGGAUGAUCAGCCACACUGGAACUGAGAUACGGUCCAGACUCCUACGGGAGGCAGCAGUGGGGAAUAUUGGACAAUGGGCGAAAGCCUGAUCCAGCCAUGCCGCAUGAGUGAAGAAGGCCUUUGGGUUGUAAAGCUCUUUUAGUGAGGAAGAUAAUGACGGUACUCACAGAAGAAGUCCUGGCUAACUCCGUGCCAGCAGCCGCGGUAAUACGGAGAGGGCUAGCGUUAUUCGGAAUUAUUGGGCGUAAAGGGCGCGUAGGCGGAUUAGUAAGUUAAAAGUGAAAUCCCAAGGCUCAACCUUGGAAUUGCUUUUAAAACUGCUAAUCUAGAGAUUGAGANNAGGAUAGAG
This 607-nucleotide ribosomal RNA is filed under the name uncultured bacterium. RNAcentral describes it as "bacterial SSU rRNA". It matches the Rfam family "Bacterial small subunit ribosomal RNA", at positions 29 to 664 of the family's 1533-position model. The record is from RNAcentral.